GAAUGUGAUCAUACCAGCACGAAUUCACUAGAUCCCAUCAGAACUCCGUUGUUAAGCUUGCUUGGGCGAGAGUGUACUAGUAUGGGUGACCUCUUGGUAAGUCAUCGUGUUGCAUCCC
Ribosomal RNA from Arabidopsis thaliana (thale cress), 118 nucleotides. NCBI's taxonomy places the organism in Eukaryota, Viridiplantae, Streptophyta, Magnoliopsida, Brassicales, Brassicaceae. The record is from Rfam.